Molecule: long non-coding RNA, 611 nt
Organism: Acanthochromis polyacanthus (spiny chromis)
Lineage: Eukaryota; Metazoa; Chordata; Actinopteri; Pomacentridae
Exons: 2
Source: RefSeq, a predicted model, not a curated record
AGAGGAAAGCCGAGGUGAAGAUGAGGAAGGAGUGCUGCCACUUCAGGUCCACCAUGGUGGUGAAGACGUCCUGCAGGAAGCGACCCUGAGACACACAGACGGAUUCUCAUUUUCUACAACUGGAUAAGGGAACAUGAGACGUCAUUUUCUCACAUGGAUUGACCUCCACAGAGUCCAGACCUCAGCCCCACUGAGAAUCUUUGGGAUGUUCUGGAGAAGACUUUGUCCGACUCUCCCAUCAUCAAUAUAAGAUCUUGAUGAAAAAUUAAUCCAACUCUGGACAGAAAACCAACACUGUAACAUUGCAGAAGCUUAUCAAAACGAUGCCACAGUGAAUGAAUGUUGUUCUCAGAGCUAAAGGUGGUCCGACAAAAUAUUAGCGUGUGUAGAGUUUUUUUUUUUUUGGAUGGGUAAAACUUUAAUUUGAAUGUUGUGGAAAAUUCUGAGCAUCAAACUGUUCAUUUUCUGCUUUUUGGUAAAUCUUUAUGCACCAAUUUGUUGUGUUUUUUGCAUCAAUUUAUGGUAAAAUUGUGUAUUUCUGUGAAGAAAAAGACUAAAUCCAGGCAAAAGUUGACAGAUUCUAGCAUUAGAUGAUCGAACUGAACCAAACA